Molecule: unclassified non-coding RNA, 208 nt
Filed under: uncultured Arthrinium
Lineage: Eukaryota; Fungi; Ascomycota; Sordariomycetes; Amphisphaeriales; Apiosporaceae
Description: sequence contains ITS1
Source: RNAcentral
CAGAGUUAUACAACUCCCAUACCAUUUGUCAACGUUACUCAGUUAUGCCUCGGCGUGAACUGCGUACGGAGGCAGAGGUGGUGUUACCCGGUAGCUUACCCUGUAGGUUACCCGGUAGCGCUACCCUGCACCACUCCCGCGCAGCCCGCCGGUGGUACACUAAACUCUUGUUUUAUUUUAUAUUCUGAGCGUAUUAUUUUAAUAAUUA